This 446-nucleotide ribosomal RNA is filed under the name uncultured bacterium. RNAcentral's name for it is "bacterial SSU rRNA". It matches the Rfam family "Bacterial small subunit ribosomal RNA", at positions 329 to 792 of the family's 1533-position model. The record is from RNAcentral.
UACCAGACUCCUACGGGAGGCAGCAGUGGGGAAUAUUGCACAAUGGGGGAAACCCUGAUGCAGCGACGCCGCGCGAAGGAAGAAGUAUUUCGGUAUGUAAACUUCUAUCAGCAGGGAAGAAAAUGACGGUACCUGACUAAGAAGCCCCGGCUAACUACGUGCCAGCAGCCGCGGUAAUACGUAGGGGGCAAGCGUUAUCCGGAUUUACUGGGUGUAAAGGGGGCGCAGACGGCGAUGCAAGCCAGGAGUGAAAGCCCGGGGCCCAACCCCCGGACUGCUUUGGAAACUGUAUAGCUGGAGUGCAGGAGAGGUAAGUGGAAUUCCUAGUGUAGCGGUGAAAUGCGUAGAUAUUAGGAGGAACACCAGUGGCGAAGGCGGCUUACUGGACUGUAACUGACGUUGAGGCUCGAAAGCGUGGGGAGCAAACAGGAUUAGAUACCCCUGUA